Sapajus apella (tufted capuchin) is the source of this 244-nucleotide long non-coding RNA. RefSeq lists it as uncharacterized. The record is from RefSeq and is a predicted model, not a curated record. NCBI's taxonomy places the organism in Eukaryota, Metazoa, Chordata, Mammalia, Primates, Cebidae. The transcript has 4 exons.
GAUAUGCUACAUUUAUUACAGUGGGUUAGUGCCUGUGGGUUUUUAAGAUAUUAGUUUGUAUUAUUAAAUUGAAGCUCCAUAGGGUCUUCUCGUCUUAUUUAGGUAUCUCCGCCUCUUCACAGAUAGGUCAAUUUCACUGAUGAAAAGUAAGAGACAGUUAAACCCUCAUGUUGCCAUUCAUACAAGUCCCUAUUUAUAGAACAAGUGAUUAUGCUACCUUUGCACGGUCAGGGUAGCAAAUCAC